Molecule: ribosomal RNA, 301 nt
Filed under: uncultured bacterium
Lineage: Bacteria
Description: partial 16S ribosomal RNA
Rfam family: Bacterial small subunit ribosomal RNA
Source: RNAcentral
CAGCCGCCGCGGGAAUACGAAGGGGGCUAGCGUUGCUCGGAAUUACUGGGCGUAAAGGGAGCGUAGGCGGACAUUUAAGUCAGGGGUGAAAUCCCAGAGCUCAACUCUGGAACUGCCUUUGAUACUGGGUGUCUUGAGUGUGAUAGAGGUAUGUGGAACUCCGAGUGUAGAGGUGAAAUUCGUAGAUAUUCGGAAGAACACCAGUGGCGAAGGCGACAUACUGGAUCAUUACUGACGCUGAGGCUCGAAAGCGUGGGGAGUAAACAGGAUUAGAUACCCCUGUAGUCCCUGUCUCUUAUAC